This 1306-nucleotide ribosomal RNA is filed under the name Staphylococcus aureus. RNAcentral's name for it is "bacterial SSU rRNA". It matches the Rfam family "Bacterial small subunit ribosomal RNA", at positions 224 to 1520 of the family's 1533-position model. Lineage: Bacteria; Bacillati; Bacillota; Bacilli; Caryophanales; Staphylococcaceae. The record is from RNAcentral.
GAUGGAUCCGCGCUGCAUUAGCUAGUUGGUAAGGUAACGGCUUACCAAGGCAACGAUGCAUAGCCGACCUGAGAGGGUGAUCGGCCACACUGGAACUGAGACACGGUCCAGACUCCUACGGGAGGCAGCAGUAGGGAAUCUUCCGCAAUGGGCGAAAGCCUGACGGAGCAACGCCGCGUGAGUGAUGAAGGUCUUCGGAUCGUAAAACUCUGUUAUUAGGGAAGAACAUAUGUGUAAGUAACUGUGCACAUCUUGACGGUACCUAAUCAGAAAGCCACGGCUAACUACGUGCCAGCAGCCGCGGUAAUACGUAGGUGGCAAGCGUUAUCCGGAAUUAUUGGGCGUAAAGCGCGCGUAGGCGGUUUUUUAAGUCUGAUGUGAAAGCCCACGGCUCAACCGUGGAGGGUCAUUGGAAACUGGAAAACUUGAGUGCAGAAGAGGAAAGUGGAAUUCCAUGUGUAGCGGUGAAAUGCGCAGAGAUAUGGAGGAACACCAGUGGCGAAGGCGACUUUCUGGUCUGUAACUGACGCUGAUGUGCGAAAGCGUGGGGAUCAAACAGGAUUAGAUACCCUGGUAGUCCACGCCGUAAACGAUGAGUGCUAAGUGUUAGGGGGUUUCCGCCCCUUAGUGCUGCAGCUAACGCAUUAAGCACUCCGCCUGGGGAGUACGACCGCAAGGUUGAAACUCAAAGGAAUUGACGGGGACCCGCACAAGCGGUGGAGCAUGUGGUUUAAUUCGAAGCAACGCGAAGAACCUUACCAAAUCUUGACAUCCUUUGACAACUCUAGAGAUAGAGCCUUCCCCUUCGGGGGACAAAGUGACAGGUGGUGCAUGGUUGUCGUCAGCUCGUGUCGUGAGAUGUUGGGUUAAGUCCCGCAACGAGCGCAACCCUUAAGCUUAGUUGCCAUCAUUAAGUUGGGCACUCUAAGUUGACUGCCGGUGACAAACCGGAGGAAGGUGGGGAUGACGUCAAAUCAUCAUGCCCCUUAUGAUUUGGGCUACACACGUGCUACAAUGGACAAUACAAAGGGCAGCGAAACCGCGAGGUCAAGCAAAUCCCAUAAAGUUGUUCUCAGUUCGGAUUGUAGUCUGCAACUCGACUACAUGAAGCUGGAAUCGCUAGUAAUCGUAGAUCAGCAUGCUACGGUGAAUACGUUCCCGGGUCUUGUACACACCGCCCGUCACACCACGAGAGUUUGUAACACCCGAAGCCGGUGGAGUAACCUUUUAGGAGCUAGCCGUCGAAGGUGGGACAAAUGAUUGGGGUGAAGUCGUAACAAGGUAGCCGUAUCGGAAGGUGCGGCUG